UUAGAGGCAAACGGGUGGACCCGCAAUACGUCGACCCGGGGGAUUCAACCAGGCCGUGCGUUCGGGACGCGUGGGGGUUAUGCGGAGCUGUAAAGCCCGUGCCUUUGCGUAGGUCUCCGGGCGGACUGGUGCACUUUCCCCGGGUUGAUUGCCACGACCGGCUCUCCGUGCGGCCACAAGCCUUUGCUGGGAAGGUGACCGUCGGCAUCCACGCCGGCGGUGUUAUAGACCAGCUUGUUCGUUGAGCUCGUCGGAGGGCCGAGGAAGUGUUGCCGUUUCUCAGCCACCCUCCGGCCAUCCUUGCUCGUCACGACUGGGGUGAACUGCUUCGUCAGUGCUCUCCCGACCGCGAGCGUAGGAAGGGCUGGUACGGUGCGAGAAAGCUUCGGGCCAGUGGCGAAUCGGUCGGUCCUCCACCCGACCCGUCUUGAA
RNAcentral lists this ribosomal RNA (432 nucleotides) under Reginaia rotulata. Its description in RNAcentral is "partial 28S large subunit ribosomal RNA". The record is from RNAcentral. Lineage: Eukaryota; Metazoa; Mollusca; Bivalvia; Unionida; Unionidae.